RNAcentral lists this ribosomal RNA (556 nucleotides) under uncultured bacterium. RNAcentral describes it as "bacterial SSU rRNA". It matches the Rfam family "Bacterial small subunit ribosomal RNA", at positions 47 to 596 of the family's 1533-position model. The record is from RNAcentral.
CCUAACACAUGCAAGUCGAGCGGUAACAGGUGUAGCAAUACAUGCUGACGAGCGGCGAACGGGUGAGUAAUGCUUCGGAAUCUGCCCAAUGGUGGGGAAUAACCAGCCGAAAGGUUGGCUAAUACCGCAUAAGUCCUACGGGGGAAAGCAGGGGAUCGCAAGACCUUGCGCCGAUGGAUGAGCCGAAGUCGGAUUAGCUAGUUGGUAGGGUAACGGCCUACCAAGGCGACGAUCCGUAGCUGGUCUGAGAGGACGACCAGCCACACUGGGACUGAGACACGGCCCAGACUCCUACGGGAGGCAGCAGUGGGGAAUAUUGGACAAUGGGGGAAACCCUGAUCCAGCGACGCCGCGUGUGUGAAGAAGGCCUGCGGGUUGUAAAGCACUUUUAGUGGGGAUGAAAAGCUCAGGGCUAAUACCUCUGGGUCUUGACCUAACCCAAAGAAAAAGCACCGGCUAACUCUGUGCCAGCAGCCGCGGUAAUACAGAGGGUGCGAGCGUUAAUCGGAAUUACUGGGCGUAAAGCGUGCGUAGACGGUUAUGUAAGUCGGGUGUG